GAUGAACGCUGGCGGCGUGCCUAAUACAUGCAAGUCGAACGAAACUUCUUUAUCACCGAGUGCUUGCACUCACCGAUAAAGAGUUGAGUGGCGAACGGGUGAGUAACACGUGGGCAACCUGCCCAAAAGAGGGGGAUAACACUUGGAAACAGGUGCUAAUACCGCAUAACCAUAGUUACCGCAUGGUAACUAUGUAAAAGGUGGCUAUACUACCGCUUUUGGAUGGGCCCGCGGCGCAUUAGCUGGUUGGUAGGGUAAAGGCUUACCAAGGCAAUGAUGCGUAGCCGAAUUGAGAGGUUGAUCGGCCACAUUGGGACUGAGACACGGCCCAAACUCCUACGGGAGGCAGCAGUAGGGAAUCUUCCACAAUGGGCGAAAGCCUGAUGGAGCAACGCCGCGUGGGUGAAGAAGGUCUUCGGAUCGUAAAACCCUGUUGUUAGAGAAGAAAGUGCGUGAGAGUAACUGUUCACGUUUCGACGGUAUCUAACCAGAAAGCCACUGCUAACUACGUG
RNAcentral lists this ribosomal RNA (512 nucleotides) under uncultured bacterium. Its description in RNAcentral is "partial 16S ribosomal RNA". It matches the Rfam family "Bacterial small subunit ribosomal RNA", at positions 28 to 507 of the family's 1533-position model. The record is from RNAcentral.